GACGAACGCUGGCGGCGUGCUUAACACAUGCAAGUCGAACGGAAAGGCCCUGCUUUUGUGGGGUGCUCGAGUGGCGAACGUGUGAGUAACACGUGAGUAACCUGCCCUUCACUUUGGUAUAACUUCAGGGAACUGUGUCUAAUACCGGAUAUGCGCUCCUGCUUCAUGGUGGGGGUUGGAUAGUUUCGUCGGUUGGGGAUGGACUCGCGGCUUAUCAGGUUGUUGGUGGGUUAGUGGCUUACCAAGGCUUUGACGGGUAGCCGGCCUGAGAGGGUGACCGGCCACAUGGGGACGGAGAUACGGCCAAGACUCCUACGGGAGGCGGAAGUGGGGAAUAUUGCAAAAUGGGCGGAAGCCUGAGGCAGGAAGGCCGCGUGGGGGAUGAGGGCCUUCGGGUUGUAAACCGCUUUCGCCUGUGACGAAGCGUGAGUGACGGUAAUGGGUAAAGAAGCACCGGCUAACUACGUG
RNAcentral lists this ribosomal RNA (468 nucleotides) under uncultured bacterium. RNAcentral describes it as "partial 16S ribosomal RNA". It matches the Rfam family "Bacterial small subunit ribosomal RNA", at positions 28 to 507 of the family's 1533-position model. The record is from RNAcentral.